Molecule: unclassified non-coding RNA, 286 nt
Filed under: Hevea brasiliensis (rubber tree)
Lineage: Eukaryota; Viridiplantae; Streptophyta; Magnoliopsida; Malpighiales; Euphorbiaceae
Source: RNAcentral
GGCAUGAAGCAAUUCCAUGGCCACUCGGUACCAUCUUCUCUCAAGAUCUUAGGCCUCGAAAUCCCCCAGUAACUCGACACCACCGCACCAUCACUCGCCUUCACCGAUUCCACUUCUUUCUCAGCCUGCUUCCCCACCGACUUCUCUGUUUUCUCGUUCUCAGCCACCGCUGUCUCCGCCGCUGUGCUCAUCAUCCUCCUCCAGUAAAACACACCAAACGACGCGCCAUUUCGGCUCCUAAACUCCGUCCAAACGUCCAUCGGCUUUAAAACACCAGACGUCUUUA